This 89-nucleotide transfer RNA is filed under the name compost metagenome. RNAcentral's name for it is "tRNA-Pro". The record is from RNAcentral.
AGGCGGUAGGUGGUCCACUCGUCCUGCGGCUUGGCGCCGAACGAUUGGUAGAAGUCGAUGGCCGGCUGGUUCCAGUCCAGCACCGCCCA